UACAGAGGUGCCGAGCGUUAGGCGGAAUCACUGGGCUUAAAGCGUGUGUAGGCGGACGUCUAAGUACCUUGUGAAAUCCCACGGCUCACCCGUGGAACUGCUGGGUAUACUGGGCGUCUUGAGCCACCUAGGGGCCAGCGGAACAAAUGGUGGAGCGGUGAAAUGCGUAGAUAUCAUUUGGAACGCCAAUGGUGAAAACAGCUCGCUGGGGGUGCACUGACACUGAGACACGAAAGCCAGGGGAGCGAACGGG
This 253-nucleotide ribosomal RNA is filed under the name uncultured bacterium. RNAcentral's name for it is "partial 16S ribosomal RNA". It matches the Rfam family "Bacterial small subunit ribosomal RNA", at positions 524 to 776 of the family's 1533-position model. The record is from RNAcentral.